Molecule: long non-coding RNA, 705 nt
Organism: Mytilus californianus (California mussel)
Lineage: Eukaryota; Metazoa; Mollusca; Bivalvia; Mytilida; Mytilidae
Exons: 2
Source: RefSeq, a predicted model, not a curated record
AAACUGGUAUGUAAACACUUUGUAAGUUGAACGAUUUCACAACUUUAGUGCAGUAUCACCUCUGCAGACAAUGGAAUUUUCACUACACUGGGUGCAGUCACCAUCAUAGCAACAAAGAGUUGCAUUGAGAACUUUUGGUCAGCAUUAGCUUGUGGUCGAAGAGUACAUAUGUGACAAGUCGUCUCUUCACACUGUCAGGAGAUUGUAAAGUUUGCCGCACAUAGGAAGUACUUGCACUAACUGAAUCAGGGAACCAUCCAGGAUUUCUAGGAGAGUUGUCUUUCUUUGACCUUUUCUUGCCUUGGUGCCAUGGGGUAUGACCAAGUUAAACUGGAUCAGUAAUAGCUCAACUUGGACUAAAUGUAUAAACUUUGGACAUCCUUAUAUUUAUAAUCAAGUGUUGAUAAUAUCUUCUUUGAUGUACAUUUUUUCCUUUGAUGCAAUAUGUGGUGUGGUUUUGCAGAGACCGCCUUCAGAGGCAACUCUGAAUUAACAGUGUUUUCUAAGCAGUAUUCAAUUGAGACAAUUAUUUUUUUAUUAGGGGUCCAGAUAAAGAUUACGGUAUCAAAAUCUAUGAAAAUAUGUUACUUUAUACUUUAAUGAGUGUUUAAUUUAACAACGAAGCAUAUUUGUUUUUUUUUUUUUUUAAAGAAUUUUUGUUGUCAAAAUGUGAUAUAUUUUUUAAUAAAUAUUUUUCUUACAGAA